AGUGAACGCUGGCGGUAGGCCUAACACAUGCAAGUCGAACGGCAGCACAGUAAGAGCUUGCUCUUACGGGUGGCGAGUGGCGGACGGGUGAGGAAUACAUCGGAAUCUACUUUUUCGUGGGGGAUAACGUAGGGAAACUUACGCUAAUACCGCAUACGACCUACGGGUGAAAGCAGGGGAUCUUCGGACCUUGCGCGAUUGAAUGAUCCGAUGUCGGAUUAGCUAGUUGGCGGGGUAAAGGCCCACCAAGGCGACGAUCCGUAGCUGGUCUGAGAGGAUGAUCAGCCACACUGGAACUGAGACACGGUCCAGACUCCUACGGGAGGCAGCAGUGGGGAAUAUUGGACAAUGGGCGCAAGCCUGAUCCAGCCAUACCGCGUGGGUGAAGAAGGCAUUCGGGUUGUAAAGCCCUUUUGUUGGGAAAGAAAAGCAGCAGGUUAAUACCCCGCUGUUCUGACGGUACCCAAAGAAUAAGCACCGGCUAACUUCGUG
This 492-nucleotide ribosomal RNA is filed under the name uncultured bacterium. Its description in RNAcentral is "partial 16S ribosomal RNA". It matches the Rfam family "Bacterial small subunit ribosomal RNA", at positions 29 to 507 of the family's 1533-position model. The record is from RNAcentral.